CGCGACCCCUCGCGUGGCGUCACCCUGCUGAAUCCCCCAGGGCCGGAAGGCAGCAAGGGCAGGCAGGCUCUGGCGGGUGCGCGGGGGGUCACCUCG
RNAcentral lists this signal recognition particle RNA (96 nucleotides) under Candidatus Nanopelagicales bacterium. RNAcentral's name for it is "signal recognition particle sRNA small type". It matches the Rfam family "Bacterial small signal recognition particle RNA". From Rfam's summary of the family: The signal recognition particle (SRP) is a universally conserved ribonucleoprotein involved in the co-translational targeting of proteins to membranes. Archaeal SRP consists of a 7S RNA and homologues of the eukaryotic SRP19 and SRP54 proteins. In most bacteria, the SRP consists of a 4.5S RNA and the Ffh protein (a homologue of the eukaryotic SRP54 protein). The record is from RNAcentral. Lineage: Bacteria; Bacillati; Actinomycetota; Actinomycetes; Candidatus Nanopelagicales.